RNAcentral lists this transfer RNA (70 nucleotides) under Kribbella kalugense. Its description in RNAcentral is "Kribbella sp. VKM Ac-2570 tRNA-Tyr". It matches the Rfam family "tRNA". Rfam says of the family: Transfer RNA (tRNA) molecules are approximately 80 nucleotides in length. Their secondary structure includes four short double-helical elements and three loops (D, anti-codon, and T loops). Lineage: Bacteria; Bacillati; Actinomycetota; Actinomycetes; Propionibacteriales; Kribbellaceae. The record is from RNAcentral.
GUGGGAGAGGCGGGACGGGCUGUAAACCCGUUGCCUUCGGGCUGAGCAGGUUCGAAUCCUGCCUCCUGUA